This 433-nucleotide ribosomal RNA is filed under the name uncultured bacterium. RNAcentral's name for it is "bacterial SSU rRNA". It matches the Rfam family "Bacterial small subunit ribosomal RNA", at positions 358 to 782 of the family's 1533-position model. The record is from RNAcentral.
GGAAUUUUGCGCAAUGGGGGAAACCCUGACGCAGCAACGCCGCGUGAGUGAUGAAGGCUUUCGGGUCGUAAAGCUCUGUCAAGUGGGAAGAAUAUGCCCUGUGAUAAUACCAUGGGGCACUGACGGUACCACUGAAGGAAGCACCGGCUAACUCCGUGCCAGCAGCCGCGGUAAUACGGGGGGUGCAAGCGUUAUUCGGAAUCAUUGGGCGUAAAGGGCGCGUAGGCGGCCCCUUAAGUCAGAUGUGAAAGCCCUCAGCUUAACUGAGGAAGUGCAUUUGAAACUAAGGGGCUUGAGUAUGGGAGAGGGAAGCGGAAUUCCUGGUGUAGCGGUGAAAUGCGUAGAUAUCAGGAGGAACACCGGUGGCGAAGGCGGCUUCCUGGACCAAUACUGACGCUGAGGCGCGAAGGCGUGGGGAGCAAACAGGAUUAGA